GGGUUCGUGGUCUAGUUGGUUAUGACGUCGCCCUUACAAGGCGAAGAUCCCCAGUUCGAAUCUGGGCGAACCCA
Molecule: transfer RNA, 74 nt
Organism: Candidatus Nanosalina sp. J07AB43
Lineage: Archaea; Methanobacteriati; Methanobacteriota; Candidatus Nanohaloarchaea
Rfam family: tRNA
About the family: Transfer RNA (tRNA) molecules are approximately 80 nucleotides in length.
Source: Rfam